GACGAACCGUACGAACGUUAUUCGGAAUCACUGGGCUUAAAGGGUGCGUAGGCGGCGCAGAAAGUUGGGUGUGAAAUCCCUCGGCUCAACCGAGGAACUGCGCCCAAAACUACUGUGCUCGAGGGAGACAGAGGUGUGCGGAACUUAGGGUGGAGCGGUGAAAUGCGUUGAUAUCCUAAGGAACACCGGUGGCGAAAGCGGCUCACUGGGUCUCUGCUGACGCUGAGGCACGAAAGCUAGGGUAGCGAACGGG
RNAcentral lists this ribosomal RNA (253 nucleotides) under uncultured bacterium. RNAcentral's name for it is "partial 16S ribosomal RNA". It matches the Rfam family "Bacterial small subunit ribosomal RNA", at positions 524 to 776 of the family's 1533-position model. The record is from RNAcentral.